AACGAACGCUGGCGGCAGGCCUAACACAUGCAAGUCGAACGCCGUAGCAAUACGGAGUGGCAGACGGGUGAGUAACGCGUGGGAACAUACCCCUCGGUUCGGAAUAACUCAGGGAAACUUGAGCUAAUACCGGAUACGUCCGAGGUUUUGAUCGACCUUGGAGAAAGAUUUAUCGCCGAAGGAUUGGCCCGCGUCUGAUUAGCUUGUUGGUGAGGUAAUGGCUCACCAAGGCGACGAUCAGUAGCUGGUCUGAGAGGAUGAUCAGCCACAUUGGGACUGAGACACGGCCCAAACUCCUACGGGAGGCAGCAGUGGGGAAUAUUGGACAAUGGGCGAAAGCCUGAUCCAGCCAUGCCGCGUGAGUGAUGAAGGCCU
RNAcentral lists this ribosomal RNA (375 nucleotides) under uncultured bacterium. Its description in RNAcentral is "bacterial SSU rRNA". It matches the Rfam family "Bacterial small subunit ribosomal RNA", at positions 29 to 417 of the family's 1533-position model. The record is from RNAcentral.